Sphaeramia orbicularis (orbiculate cardinalfish) is the source of this 140-nucleotide long non-coding RNA. RefSeq lists it as uncharacterized. The transcript is spliced from 3 exons. Lineage: Eukaryota; Metazoa; Chordata; Actinopteri; Kurtiformes; Apogonidae. The record is from RefSeq and is a predicted model, not a curated record.
UGGUCUGAUGAGUCCAGAUUGACCCUGUUCCAAAGUGAGAUGAGAGUUGGAUGAAGUGAUUACCCAUUAUGCCUAGUGCCUACAGUACAAACCUGCGGGGGCAGUGUUAUGGUUUAGGUUUAUCUCUGUAAGCCAGGUCA